Molecule: small RNA, 3021 nt
Filed under: Rattus norvegicus (Norway rat)
Lineage: Eukaryota; Metazoa; Chordata; Mammalia; Rodentia; Muridae
Description: uncharacterized LOC108352981
Source: RNAcentral
CACACCCUUUCCAUAAUAUGACUAAGGACAUUAAAAAAUUCAUAGGAGACAUUUCAUGCACACUUUAAUAUGGUCUGAAAGUUCUUGUUUUGUUUGAACUCAUCUACAAUAGUUAUUUUGAUGCCCUUUUCUUUCUAAGUAAGAUUAAGAUAUUGGUCAUUAUGUUGCCUUUGAAAAUGGCUUUGUCAUCAAAACCGGCUGACAGAUAUCUUGAAAUACAGUGCUACAAAUAGCCCACCUGCUUUAAAUUCCUGUGUUGAACUUCUAGGAUGGUGGUUUUAAGGAAGUUUCCUCCAUGCUGACUGGCUCUCGGAGUCCUGAAAAGUGCUAUGUGGGCUUCUGAGAGGUGGAGGAGCUUCAACAGUCUUACACCGCUGUGAAUCCUGUGAACUACAAUAAUGACUGGUCCAACAAUGAACACCCAUGGGUGUGUGUGCUUGUGUCAUGAAUGUAUGGUGACCACCAAGUGCUUUCUGAAUGGAUUUAAGGUCUUGCUCCAUGACAGGAAAAGAUAUGGGGUAGAGAAAAUCUGAAGAACAAUCUGAUUGGGGAGCUAACUCUGCUAGCAAUGGCAGAACCCUCUACUAUUAUUCUGCUAAGAAACAUUGUAUCAAAAUACCCUCUAAAUUUGUAUCUCUACCCACAGAAUUUGUAUCUCUCUACACACAGGUUAGUGCAGCUCCCAGACUUCAUCCGGAAAGUUUCUUUGUGCAGUGGGCAGCAGUUAAGACAGAAACUCACAGCUGGUCAAAGUAUAGAGGUUAAAAUGCAAGAGUACUCAACCACAAAUGAGGCACGCAUAUCAGUGCCCAAGCCCUACCACGGCACAAGGACUGUCUGGAACAAGGACUGUCUUGGAAGAAGGGUAGAAGCAUUGCAAGAGUCAGAGGUCAGAGAGAACCAGAACCAAACAGUGUCUUCUGGUUAUGACCACACUUGUGAAUUAGAAGUAGCUCUGGUUACCUGUAUGAGAUCAAGACAGUCAACAUUCUAGUCUGAAGGUGGCAGAGGCUCAUAAGUCUUCCCUGCUGACUGAGGAGACAUGGAUAGUUGAUGGCUUUGAAGAGAAGUGGAAUCUGUUUUCUUCAAGGGUGUGGUCUCUGGUAGGUUAACCACACUUUAACAGAUGGUCCCACACCCAAGAGUACAUAAGAGACAAUGGGACAAAAUGGGAGGGAGUGACGUGGGGUUGGGAGGUUAGAAAGGUGCGGUAGAGAGGAGAGGAGUUAGGGGUGGGUGAAUAUGAUCAUACCUAGAGAUACAAAUUUACAGGGUAUUUUGAUACUAGGUCAUGAAUAUAUUGUAUACAAUUCUCAAAAAGUCAACUUAAAAAGGUUAUUUAAAAUGAGAGAUGGUCUUAAAGUCAGACUAUCUUCCUUGAGAAUCACUUGAAGGUAAUAAGAAGGGAAAUUUUUCUUUUAGUGAAAACUUCAUUUUUUUUCUUUUAUUAAUCAGUCAGGAGAAUGCCCCCACACUACUAACCAGAUGGGUGGUCCAACAAAAAUAGAGCAAGUGGGGUUACCUGUAGUAGAAAGGGGAGGAGAUGAUGCUGUGGCCUUGGGUCUUGGGUUAAAGGCCAGAACAUGUUUCUUGGUGAUAAGAAACACCCUGGUGAGCAGAGAGGAAGAGCAGAGAGAAGAGCUUGUUUGCAGCAGUAGAGCAGGGGCACAAAGCUGCUACUAAAGCUAAUGUUGAGAAUGAGAAACCACACUGACCAGGGCGGUUACAGCUUGUUACUGUAGUAACCAGCAAACAAAUAUUCUACUCCGAGUUCCCCAUGGGCUGGGAAGAGGUAAGGAUUAAAGGACCAGCCAGUAAGAGUCAGGGGUGAUCAGGAAAGGUCUAGUCCCAUGCUCUUCCCAACAAAAACCCCCAAAGGUUGCUGAUCCCAGAAAAGUACACUUCCCUCAAAGGUAGCUAAUCAGAGGAUCAAAAGGAACUGUCUCAGGAAGUAUUCACAGUAGCCCAUGGUAGGAAAAGAGAGAACUACUCACAGUAGCCUAUGGUAGGAAGAGGGAAAGAAGAAAACAGCCACAGAUAGAACACUUACCAUCCAGAAGCAGACAGGAACAGAAAGCAAACACAGGCAAUUUGAAAGUUCUAAUGAGUCGAUUUGCUCCUCCCAAACAAUUAGGUAUAAAAAACAGGGAAUGAAUAAAGGUCAGCCAGCUCAUCUCAGAAGGACGCAGGACACCACAAAUGCACCCCGAAUCCCCGACAAUGCCUGAGUAAGUCUGUGGAGACUCACUCUUACCUGAAAACUCCUAUCACCACAUCUAAGCCUGUCCUGAGUACUUCUCACUGAACAACGGUCUCCUGGUCGCUGAUGCAGCAUGAUCGGCCGGCUUCACUCUUGUCUCCAUGCCUUCCCCACCGUGAUGGAUCAGAGUCCCUCAAACGGGCUCCGAUUUACCAUUCUGCAGAGAGAGCAACCACCUCCAGCCCAAUCUCAAAAUCAAGUCCAAACGCUGUCCAAAGUCCGUGAAGUCUUAGUCCAAUGCCUUGUUUGGUUUCAGUCAUCCUUUUUCGCUGAGUUUGCAGUCCAACUCCUUCUCUCGCAGCUCUGCUAAUAUUGUCCCUUAAUUCUGCUUUGUAAUAAAUACCAUCGGCUUUAAUGUGUCUUGAAGGACUGCGCCAAGGGCUCCUGGGAUCCCUAUGAUCCCUAUGAUUCCUCAUCAACUUGACACACUUUGAAUCACCUAGGAAGACAGUCUCGGGAAGGGACUAUCUAGAUUAGGCUGGUCUAUGGGCAUGGCUGUGAUGGAUGUCUUGAUUCCAUUAACUGAUAUGGGAAACUUCAGCCUAAAUGUGGAUGGUGCUGGUCCCUGGGUUUGGGUCCUAGGUUAUGAAGGGAAAAGAGAGCUGAUCUGGCAGGAAUGUAUGCAAAGCUCUUGACUGUGGGCGUGACUUUCUGCAUCAAGUUCCCGACGCCUUGACCUCUGUGCAAUGGUGGACUUGAACCUGGAUUUGUAGAAUAAGUUACAUUUUGCUUUUGUCACAGCAACAGGGAAUAAAACUAAG